Molecule: ribosomal RNA, 562 nt
Filed under: Azygia longa
Lineage: Eukaryota; Metazoa; Platyhelminthes; Trematoda; Azygiida; Azygiidae
Description: SSU rRNA
Rfam family: Eukaryotic small subunit ribosomal RNA
Source: RNAcentral
UCUCAGAGAUUAAGCCAUGCAUGUCUAAGUACAGACCUUUAAACGGUGAAACCGCGAAUGGCUCAUUAAAUCAGCUAUGGUUCCUUAGAUCGUACAUGCUACAUGGAUAACUGUAGUAAUUCUAGAGCUAAUACAUGCCACUAUGCCCUGACCCGAGAGGGGACGGGUGGAUUUAUUAGAACAGAACCAACCGGUCGUGGCUUCGGUCGCUUCCGUUUCUUUCUGUGAUGACUCUGGAUAACUUUACUGAUCGCAGUCGGCCUUGUGUCGGCGACGGAUCUUUCAAAUGGCUGCCCUAUCAAUUUUCGAUGGUAGGUGACCUGCCUACCAUGGUAAUAACGGGUAACGGGGAAUCAGGGUUCGAUUCCGGAGAGGGAGCCUGAGAAACGGCUACCACAUCCAAGGAAGGCAGCAGGCACGCAAAUUACCCAAUCCCGGUACGGGGAGGUAGUGACGAAAAAUACGGAUACGGGACUCAUUUUGAGGCUCCGUAAUUCGAAUGAGUACAAUUUAAAUCCUUUAACGAGGAUCAACUGGAGGGCAAGUCUGGUGCCAGCAGCCG